This 301-nucleotide ribosomal RNA is filed under the name uncultured bacterium. RNAcentral's name for it is "partial 16S ribosomal RNA". It matches the Rfam family "Bacterial small subunit ribosomal RNA", at positions 509 to 807 of the family's 1533-position model. The record is from RNAcentral.
CAGCCGCCGCGGUAAUACGUAGGGGGCGAGCGUUGUCCGAAGUUACUGGGCGUAAAGGGCUCGCAGGCGGUUUCUUAAGUCUGAUGUGAAAGCCCCCGGCUCAACCGGGGAGGGUCAUUGGAAACUGGGAAACUUGAGUGCAGAAGAGGAGAGUGGAAUUCCACGUGUAGCGGUGAAAUGCGUAGAGAUGUGGAGGAACACCAGUGGCGAAGGCGACUCUCUGGUCUGUAACUGACGCUGAGGAGCGAAAGCGUGGGGAGCGAACAGGAUUAGAGACCCCCGUAGUCCCUGUCUCUUAUAC